RNAcentral lists this ribosomal RNA (1620 nucleotides) under Triticum aestivum (bread wheat). RNAcentral's name for it is "partial small subunit ribosomal RNA". Lineage: Eukaryota; Viridiplantae; Streptophyta; Magnoliopsida; Poales; Poaceae. The record is from RNAcentral.
AUGCACUUUGAUGGUUCCAAGAUGCGCACCGGUUUGGGAGCCGACAUCAUCCUCACCUCUCCCAAAGGCGACAAGCUAAGAUACGUGCUGCAAAUCCACUUUGCCGCCUCCAACAACGUUGCCGAGUACGAAGCACUCAUUCACGGGCUCCGGCUUGCCAAGGAACUCGACAUUCGCCGGAUCCUGUGCUAUGGUGAUUCCGACUUGGUGGUCCAGCAGUCGUCAGGCGACUGGGACGCCAAGGAUGCAAACAUGGCGAGCUACCGCUUCCUCGUACAACAGCUCAAUGGAUACUUCGAGGGGUGCGAGUUCCUUCAUGUGCCAAGAAAUGACAAUGAGCAAGCUGAUGCCUUGGCAUGGAUCGGCUCUACCCGGGAAGCAAUACUAGCCGGCGUCGCCUUGCAACGCCUCCUCAAGCCGUCUGUCAAGCCGUCACCAGAAUCAGACUCCAUCUUCGUGCCGGCUCCUCCUGAAGCAGUCGGAUCCGACUUGAGGACCCCAGCAGCCGGCGCGGGAACUUCGGCAGGCGGCUCGGGGACUGCAGUAGUCGCACCCGGCCCGGGGACUUCAGAACCCGGCCCGGGGACCGUAGCAGUCGGCCCGGGGACUUCAUCGACUCAGCAGGCGACUCAGCAGGCGGCCACCGACUCCAACCCGCCGCCUCCCCGCCCAACCGCCCUCGUGCAAUUAGCAGUCCUAGCAGUCGAAGAAAUUGCAGCACCUUCAUGGGCUCAGCCCAUCCUCAACUUUCUGGUGAACAAAGAGCUGCCGACUGAUGAGAUCUCGGCCCGGCAAGUGCAGCGCCGGGCAGCAGCAUACACCAUUGUCAACAGAGAGCUUGUGAGGCGCAGCAUCACUGGUGUGUACCAGCGCUGCGUGGAGCCGGAGCAAGGCCAAGCAAUCCUCAAAGAUAUCCAUCAAGGCGAGUGUGGUCACCACGCGGCCACAAGAGCACUUGUUGCCAAAGCUUUUCGCCACGGUUUUUUAUGGCCGACUGCUCUAGAAGACGCCAAAGACUUGGUCCAGAAAUGCAAAGGGUGUCAGAAGUUCCGCUCGAAGCCACAUCAGCCGGCUUCUGCACUCAAGACUAACCCCAUUGCCUGGCCCUUUGCCGUCUGGGGCCUGGACAUGGUGGGACCAUUCAAGACAGCACGCGGCGGCAUGACUCAUCUGCUUGUCGCGGUGGACAAGUUCACCAAGUGGAUAGAAUCAAAGCCAAUUAAAAAGUUGAAUGGUCCGACUGCUGUGACUUUCAUCUCCGACAUCACCAUCCGGUAUGGCAUACCGCACAACAUCAUCACCGACAACAGCACAAACUUUGCCAAAGGCGCCUUGGCCCGUUUCUGCGCGACGCAGGGCAUCCGACUGGACUUAGCGUCCGUUGCCCAUCCGCAGUCAAACGGCCAAGUGGAGCAAGCAAACGGCCUCAUUUUGUCCGGCAUCAAGCCCCGACUAGUCGAACCCCUGGAGCGUUCGGCCGGCUGCUGGCUAGAUGAGCUGUCGGCCGUCCUAUGGAGUCUGCGCACAACUCCGAACAAGUCAACCGGCUUCACGCCUUUCUUCCUCGUCUACGGUGCUGAAGCCGUCAUCCUGACGGACAUAGAAUUCGACUCCCCUUGA